AUAUAGUAUAAACCCGCAUUACAUUCAAUUUCGACUUGAAAAAUAAUAAGUCAUUAUUUAUAUU
RNAcentral lists this transfer RNA (64 nucleotides) under Syrista sp. 1 GYN-2021c. RNAcentral's name for it is "tRNA-Arg". The record is from RNAcentral. Lineage: Eukaryota; Metazoa; Arthropoda; Insecta; Hymenoptera; Cephidae.